CUACGGGUCGCUGCAGUGAGGAAUAUUGCACAAUGGGGGAAACCCUGAUGCAGCAACGCCGCGUGGAGGAUGACGCAUUUCGGUGUGUAAACUCCUUUUAUCAGAGAAGAAAAUGACGGUAUCUGAUGAAUAAGCUCCGGCUAACUCCGUGCCAGCAGCCGCGGUAAUACGGAGGGAGCAAGCGUUAUUCGGAAUCACUGGGCGUAAAGGACGCGUAGGCGGGUUUUUAAGUCAGGUGUGAAAUCCUAUGGCUCAACCAUAGAACUGCACUUGAAACUGGGGACCUAGAGUAUGGAAGGGGCAGGUGGAAUUAGUGGUGUAGGGGUAAAAUCCGUAGAUAUCACUAGGAAUACCGAAAGCGAAGGCGGCCUGCUGGGACAUUACUGACGCUGAGGCGUGAAAGCGUGGGGAGCAAACAGGAUUAGAUACCCUUGUAGUC
Molecule: ribosomal RNA, 439 nt
Filed under: uncultured bacterium
Lineage: Bacteria
Description: partial 16S ribosomal RNA
Rfam family: Bacterial small subunit ribosomal RNA
Source: RNAcentral